GUGUCAGCCGCCGCGGUAAUACGUAGGAUCCAAGCGUUGUCCGGAUUUACUGGGUGUAAAGGGUGCGCAGGCGGACUUAUAAGUUAGAGGUGAAAUCUCUCGGCUCAACCGGGAAACUGCCUUUGAUACUGUAAGUCUUGAAUCCGAGAGAGAUUUGUGGAAUUCCGAGUGUAGCAGUGAAAUGUGUAGAUAUUCGGAAGAACACCAGUGGCGAAGGCAGCAAAUUGGCUCGGUAUUGACGCUCAGGCACGAAAGCAUGGGGAUCAAACAGGAUUAGAUACCCCGGUAGUCC
Molecule: ribosomal RNA, 292 nt
Filed under: uncultured bacterium
Lineage: Bacteria
Description: partial 16S ribosomal RNA
Rfam family: Bacterial small subunit ribosomal RNA
Source: RNAcentral